Molecule: ribosomal RNA, 253 nt
Filed under: uncultured bacterium
Lineage: Bacteria
Description: partial 16S ribosomal RNA
Rfam family: Bacterial small subunit ribosomal RNA
Source: RNAcentral
UACGUAGGCAGCGAGCGUUGUUCGGAGUUACUGGGCGUAAAGGGUGUGUAGGCGGUUCUUUAAGUUUGGUGUGAAAUCUCCCGGCUUAACCGGGAGGGUGCGCCGAAUACUGAGGGACUAGAGUACGGGAGAGGAAAGUGGAAUUCCUGGUGUAGCGGUGAAAUGCGUAGAUAUCAGGAGGAACACCGGUGGUGUAGACGGCUUUCUGGACCGUAACUGACGCUGAGACACGAAAGCUAGGGGAGCAAACAGG